RNAcentral lists this ribosomal RNA (258 nucleotides) under uncultured bacterium. RNAcentral describes it as "partial 16S ribosomal RNA". It matches the Rfam family "Bacterial small subunit ribosomal RNA", at positions 524 to 776 of the family's 1533-position model. The record is from RNAcentral.
UACGUAGGGAGCAAGCGUUUGUCCGGUAUUUGAUUGGGCGUAAAGAGCUCGUGAGGCGGCUUAGCAAGUCAGAUGUGAAAACUCCAGGCUCAACCUGGAGACGCCAUUUGAUACUGCUAUGGCUUGAGUUCGGUAGGGGUAAGCGGAAUUCCUGGUGUAGCGGUGAAAUGCGCAGAUAUCAGGAGGAACACCGAUGGCGAAGGCAGCUUACUGGGCCGAUACUGACGCUGAGGGACGAAAGCUAGGGGAGCGAAAGGG